GAUGAAGAACGUAGCGAAAUGCGAUAAGUAAUGUGAAUUGCAGAAUUCAGUGAAUCAUCAAAUCUUUGAACGCACCUUGCGCCUUUUGGUAUUCCGAAAGGCACACCUGUUUGAGCGUCAUGAAUACCUCAAUCUCCAUCUUUUCUUCGGAUUGAUGGGUGACUUGGAUGUUGAGCCCUGCUGGUAUGCUAUAUCAGCUGGCUUUAAACUUAUUAGCCGGCUCUGUACUGGAUCGGUUUGACUCGACGUGAUAAUAUUAUCGUUGAGGAUGCAUGUCUCAUGCAGCCGGAAAGUAUCAAAGCAGCUUCUAGCUUGCCUUUAGUGCACUUUUACAUUUUAGACCUCAGAUCAGGUGGGACUACCCGCUGAACUUAAGCAUAUCAUAAGCGGAGGA
Molecule: unclassified non-coding RNA, 394 nt
Filed under: soil metagenome
Description: partial contains 5.8S ribosomal RNA, internal transcribed spacer 2, and large subunit ribosomal RNA
Rfam family: 5.8S ribosomal RNA (bases 1-120)
Source: RNAcentral